Long non-coding RNA from Lampris incognitus (smalleye Pacific opah), 1224 nucleotides. RefSeq lists it as uncharacterized. The transcript has 5 exons. The record is from RefSeq and is a predicted model, not a curated record. NCBI's taxonomy places the organism in Eukaryota, Metazoa, Chordata, Actinopteri, Lampriformes, Lampridae.
UUUUUUCAGGCAUGGCGUCAGCGGAGAGGGACUCUGCCUCCAGCUUACUUCUCACAAAAGAGGAGAGAGGAGGAAGUAAGUGUAAGCUACCACCGAUUACCAACAGCUGUUGAAUGGUGCAAAGAAUGGGUCCGAGCGAUAAACAGCCCCAAAUAUGACGAGAACGCACCAACAUCAGUACUGGGAAAUCUUCGUGUAUGCUCUUUGCGUUUUGCAUCAGAUGACUACAAUAGGGACAUACAGUCAGAGUUGAUGGGAGGAAGCAUCAAGAAAUUGCUUAAGACCUCUGCUGUGCCCACUCUUUUUGGAAGCGAUAUUGGCCAUGGCGAUGGAAACCCCCAGAGAAGCAAGGUUGAACAGAGUUGAAGAACAAACUUCCUCUACUUCUACUGCCACAGGCAGUGUGCCCAGCAGAGGGAAGAAAUACAAUCUGUUGCUGCUUCAGCCCACAGUCAAGGUGGGCUCAUUCCAGAGUUGCAAGUUGAAGUACAUGCCCAAAAGGUAGCAGUUCUCCUACACGGGCCUGAGGAAAAGAGGGCAACUUGCCGUUUUGGAGCACAAUAAAAAUAUUGUGAAGAGGAAGCUCACCACUAACAGCAAAGUUGAGGUGCAAAGGAAACUUGUUUACUGUCGGAGGACAAAGCAAUGGGUUGUGAAGACGAUUUAUGAACCUCACAUGCACAACUUCAGAGUGCGCCUUGUUGAACUUGUCAUUGCAUGAAGAUGAGACCCUACCUUUGCCUACAAAAUGCGGACGUCAUCACUCCUGCUCCCUCAGCCUACUCUUCCCCCAAACAUUGUAGCAGUCCCAAAACCAUCCAAACAAGAAGCAACUGGGAAACACCAGUCCUGUUUUCCAAAGUGAUGUAAUGAGAAGUCUAGCAAAGUGGCUGAGGAAAAAUAAAAAUACUGGGCAAUUCAGUUAUUGGCCCUUUGGACUUAUUUCACCCCUGUCAGCUGCUUUAUAACCCCUUAAUUUAUAAUUUACAUUUUCAGUUGUGCAAUACUGACUUAGCAGUACAAUAAUUUAACUUUAUAACAGUGCAGUACUCUGGUGUGUAUUUAUACUAUAUUAGAACUUAUUCAUUCUGUACAUUCUGCAAUAUUUUUACAUAUUUAUUGCAUAAUACACUUAUUUUUCCAUUCUUAUUUUUCUUAUAAUUUCACUUAUGCUUAUAUAUAUAUAUAUUCUCUUCUACAAUGUGAGCAACUGUACGAUGACCA